RNAcentral lists this non-coding RNA (28 nucleotides) under Homo sapiens (human). Lineage: Eukaryota; Metazoa; Chordata; Mammalia; Primates; Hominidae. The record is from RNAcentral.
UGCAUGAUUUUGUUUGCUGUCUUCUGUC